RNAcentral lists this ribosomal RNA (997 nucleotides) under uncultured bacterium. RNAcentral describes it as "bacterial SSU rRNA". It matches the Rfam family "Bacterial small subunit ribosomal RNA", at positions 505 to 1501 of the family's 1533-position model. The record is from RNAcentral.
GUCCCAGCAGCCGCGGUAAUACGGAGGGUGCGAGCGUUAAUCGGAAUUACUGGGCGUAAAGCGCAUGCAGGUGGUUUGUUAAGUCAGAUGUGAAAGCCCGGGGCUCAACCUCGGAAUAGCAUUUGAAACUGGCAGACUAGAGUACUGUAGAGGGGGGUAGAAUUUCAGGUGUAGCGGUGAAAUGCGUAGAGAUCUGAAGGAAUACCGGUGGCGAAGGCGGCCCCCUGGACAGAUACUGACACUCAGAUGCGAAAGCGUGGGGAGCAAACAGGAUUAGAUACCCUGGUAGUCCACGCCGUAAACGAUGUCUACUUGGAGGUUGUGGCCUUGAGCCGUGGCUUUCGGAGCUAACGCGUUAAGUAGACCGCCUGGGGAGUACGGUCGCAAGAUUAAAACUCAAAUGAAUUGACGGGGGCCCGCACAAGCGGUGGAGCAUGUGGUUUAAUUCGAUGCAACGCGAAGAACCUUACCUACUCUUGACAUCCAGAGAACUUUCCAGAGAUGGAUUGGUGCCUUCGGGAACUCUGAGACAGGUGCUGCAUGGCUGUCGUCAGCUCGUGUUGUGAAAUGUUGGGUUAAGUCCCGCAACGAGCGCAACCCUUAUCCUUGUUUGCCAGCGAGUAAUGUCGGGAACUCCAGGGAGACUGCCGGUGAUAAACCGGAGGAAGGUGGGGACGACGUCAAGUCAUCAUGGCCCUUACGAGUAGGGCUACACACGUGCUACAAUGGCGCAUACAGAGGGCGGCCAACUUGCGAAAGUGAGCGAAUCCCAAAAAGUGCGUCGUAGUCCGGAUUGGAGUCUGCAACUCGACUCCAUGAAGUCGGAAUCGCUAGUAAUCGUGGAUCAGAAUGCCACGGUGAAUACGUUCCCGGGCCUUGUACACACCGCCCGUCACACCAUGGGAGUGGGCUGCAAAAGAAGUAGGUAGUUUAACCUUCGGGGGGACGCUUACCACUUUGUGGUUCAUGACUGGGGUGAAGUCGUAACAAGGUAACC